GAUGAACGCUGACAGAAUGCUUAACACAUGCAAGUCGAUGGGGAAGUGGUGCUUGCACCAUGGCAACCAUGGCGGACGGGUGAGUAACGCGUAAGGGACUUACCUGCAGGACUGGGAUAACAGGGGGAAACUCCUGACAAGACCGGAUAAUGUCAUGGAGCUGCAUGGCUUUAUGAUGAAAGGAGACGCCUGCGGAGAGCCUUGCGUCCUAUUAGCUAGUUGGUGAGGUAAUGGCUCACCAAGGCGAAGAUAGGUAGCCGGCCUGAGAGGGUGGACGGCCACAAGGGGACUGAGAUACGGCCCUUACUCCUACGGGAGGCAGCAGUGGGGAAUAUUGGACAAUCGGGGCAACCCUGAUCCAGCAAUUCUGUGUGCACGAAGAAGGUUUUCGGAUUGUAAAGUGCUUUCAGCAGGGAAGAAGUAAGUGACGGUACCUGCAGAAGAAGCGACGGCUAAAUACGCG
Molecule: ribosomal RNA, 463 nt
Filed under: uncultured bacterium
Lineage: Bacteria
Description: partial 16S ribosomal RNA
Rfam family: Bacterial small subunit ribosomal RNA
Source: RNAcentral